GCGGGUGUAGCUCAAUGGUAGAGUCCCUGCCUUCCAAGCAGGCUGUGUGGGUUCGAUUCCCAUCACCCGCU
Non-coding RNA from Planctomycetales bacterium 71-10, 71 nucleotides. Lineage: Bacteria; Pseudomonadati; Planctomycetota; Planctomycetia; Planctomycetales. The record is from Rfam.